This 86-nucleotide transfer RNA is filed under the name Thermoproteota archaeon. RNAcentral describes it as "Crenarchaeota archaeon (sediment metagenome) tRNA-Leu". It matches the Rfam family "tRNA". Rfam says of the family: Transfer RNA (tRNA) molecules are approximately 80 nucleotides in length. Their secondary structure includes four short double-helical elements and three loops (D, anti-codon, and T loops). Lineage: Archaea; Thermoproteati; Thermoproteota. The record is from RNAcentral.
GCGGAGGUGCCCGAGCCAGGUCAAAGGGGCAAGGUUCAGGCCCUUGUGCGUUUAGCGCUUCGUGGGUUCAAAUCCCACCCUCCGCA